This 253-nucleotide ribosomal RNA is filed under the name uncultured bacterium. RNAcentral describes it as "partial 16S ribosomal RNA". It matches the Rfam family "Bacterial small subunit ribosomal RNA", at positions 524 to 776 of the family's 1533-position model. The record is from RNAcentral.
UACGAAGGGUGCAAGCGUUAUCCGGAUUCAUUGGGUUUAAAGGGUGCGUAGGUGGGUAGGUAAAUCAGUGGUGAAAUCUUCGAGCUUAACUCGGAAACUGCCAUUGAUACUAUUUAUCUUGAAUACUUUGGAGGUAAGCGGAAUAUGUCAUGUAGCGGUGAAAUGCUUAGAUAUGACAUAGAACACCAAUUGCGAAGGCAGCUUACUACACAGUUAUUGACACUGAGGCACGAAAGCGUGGGGAUCAAACAGG